AAAACGACUCUCGGCAACGGAUAUCUCGGCUCUCGCAUCGAUGAAGAACGUAGCGAAAUGCGAUACUUGGUGUGAAUUGCAGAAUCCCGUGAACCAUCGAGUCUUUGAACGCAAGUUGCGCCCGAAGCCGCCAGGCCGAGGGCACGCCUGCCUGGGCGUCACA
RNAcentral lists this ribosomal RNA (163 nucleotides) under Cotoneaster armenus. RNAcentral describes it as "5.8S ribosomal RNA". It matches the Rfam family "5.8S ribosomal RNA". Rfam says of the family: 5.8S ribosomal RNA (5.8S rRNA) is a component of the large subunit of the eukaryotic ribosome. It is transcribed by RNA polymerase I as part of the 45S precursor that also contains 18S and 28S rRNA. Lineage: Eukaryota; Viridiplantae; Streptophyta; Magnoliopsida; Rosales; Rosaceae. RNAcentral also lists the same sequence under 2 other names. The record is from RNAcentral.